GGCANGCCUAACACAUGCCAGUCGAUUCGGCUAGAGCAGGAAGCUUGCUCCUCUUGGAGGAGCGGCGGACGGGUGAGUAAUGCCUAGGAAUCUGCCUGAUAGUGGGGGAUAACGUACGGAAACNGACGCUAAUACCGCAUACGUCCUACGGGAGAANUCANNNNNNCUUCNGNCCUUGUCGCUAUCAGAUNAGCCUAUGUCGGAUUAGCUAGUUGGUGAGGUAAUGGCCUCACCAAGGCUACGAUCCGUAACUGGUCUGAGAGGAUGAUCAGUCACACUGGAACUGAGANUCGGUCCAGACUCCUACGGGAGGCAGCAAUGGGGAAUAUUGGACAAUGGGCGAAAGCCUGAUCCAGCCAUGCCGCGUGUGUGAAGAAGGUCUUCGGGAUUGUAAAGCACUUUANNUNGGGAGGAAGGGCAUNAACCUAAUAUCGUCUAGUGUAUUGGACGGUUACCUGACAGAAUAAGCACCGGCUAACUCUGUGCCAGCAGCCGCGGUAAUACAUAAGGGUGCAAGCGUUAAUCGGAAUUACUGGGCGUAAAGCGCGCGCUAGGUGGUUUGUUAAGUUUGGAUGUGACAUCCCCGGGCUCANCCUGGGGAACUGCAUUCGANACUGACUGNCUANAGUNUUGGUAAAGGGUGGUUGGAAUUCCCUGUG
Molecule: ribosomal RNA, 659 nt
Filed under: uncultured bacterium
Lineage: Bacteria
Description: partial 16S ribosomal RNA
Rfam family: Bacterial small subunit ribosomal RNA
Source: RNAcentral